RNAcentral lists this transfer RNA (76 nucleotides) under Clostridiales bacterium. RNAcentral describes it as "tRNA-Ala". It matches the Rfam family "tRNA". Rfam says of the family: Transfer RNA (tRNA) molecules are approximately 80 nucleotides in length. Their secondary structure includes four short double-helical elements and three loops (D, anti-codon, and T loops). Lineage: Bacteria; Bacillati; Bacillota; Clostridia; Eubacteriales. The record is from RNAcentral.
GGGGCUGUAGCUCAACCGGGAGAGCACAAGUUUUGCAAACUUGAGGUCGCGAGUUCGACACUCGCCAGUUCCACCA